GAUAGAGUGCGAGGGCGAGCUGAGAAAGCGAAAGCGAAAGCGAAAGAGAACGCUGCAUAAAGGCCUCUUGUGUCCUUGUCUAAUAACGCAUGCUCGUUCGUAUAGCAAACAUAUAAGUGUAUAGCCAACACAAACAUUGUCAGUGUCAUGCCUGAUUAGACAAGGACAGAAGACACUUUUAUGCAGCGUUCUUUCUACUCCUAUAUCGCAUCCACUUACACGAUAAUUUAAGACUAUAUGACUCGCGUACUCUAACUCUUUGUAUAUCUAUGGUUAUAAUAGACAUUUAUUGCAGUCUCACAGUUGUUAGAAAUUUUGAGUUUUAGGACAUGUCUAAGAAUCAUCGAAAUGGAAAGGUUUCCUCGGUGCGUCAAUAUCUUCAAGAAUUCGUGGACAUGGCUGCAAGCGUUAGUGGAGAGGACAGAGUCGUUCUAUCAGGCGUAACGAUCAGUGGACAGUCCUGUGCGAAAUCUUCAGUUGCGAACAGUAUCUCCAAGCAUCGAUGAAGGUACGCCGAAACGAGCUAUUCGUGUAGAGAGGAGAACUGAGGCAACGGUUGUCGCUUCCAUAUCAACGAUGGGAAUGGCUUCGGACCAACGCGAAAAACGGUCGAUACACGUUAGACAAUGUGAGAAUACGUGCCUGGUGACAUUGCAUCGUUGACACGGGAUACAUUGUCGUGCCCAAGUCCGGCAAUCUUUAUUUACGGACGGUCAAAUGAAACGCGACGUCACCAAUUUUUGCGUGGCACGUAUCUCUGGAUGGGAAAGUCCGUGGAGCGAAUUAAACACGUCGCGCCGCAAGGAUUUCGGUACGUACCAUCGUACAAUGUCGCCUGAUAUGUCGCAAUAAAUUUCUACCUAUAA
Bombus terrestris (buff-tailed bumblebee) is the source of this 866-nucleotide long non-coding RNA. RefSeq lists it as uncharacterized. The transcript is spliced from 4 exons. The record is from RefSeq and is a predicted model, not a curated record. Lineage: Eukaryota; Metazoa; Arthropoda; Insecta; Hymenoptera; Apidae.